UGGGGAAUUUUGGACAAUGGGCGAAAGCCUGAUCCAGCAAUGCCGCGUGUGUGAAGAAGGCCUUCGGGUUGUAAAGCACUUUUGUCCGGAAAGAAAUCCUUGGCUCUAAUACAGUCGGGGGAUGACGGUACCGGAAGAAUAAGCACCGGCUAACUACGUGCCAGCAGCCGCGGUAAUACGUAGGGUGCAAGCGUUAAUCGGAAUUACUGGGCGUAAAGCGUGCGCAGGCGGUUUGCUAAGACCGAUGUGAAAUCCCCGGGCUCAACCUGGGAACUGCAUUGGUGACUGGCAGGCUAGAGUAUGGCAGAGGGGGGUAGAAUUCCACGUGUAGCAGUGAAAUGCGUAGAGAUGUGGAGGAAUACCGAUGGCGAAGGCAGCCCCCUGGGCCAAUACUGACGCUCAUGCACGAAAGCGUGGGGAGCAAACAGGAUUAGAUACCCUGGUAGUCCACGCCCUAAACGAUGUCAACUAGUUGUUGGGGACUUCAUUUUCCUUAGUAACGUAGCUAACGCGUGAAGUUGACCGCCUGGGGAGUACGGUCGCAAGAUUAAAACUCAAA
This 559-nucleotide ribosomal RNA is filed under the name uncultured bacterium. RNAcentral describes it as "partial 16S ribosomal RNA". It matches the Rfam family "Bacterial small subunit ribosomal RNA", at positions 355 to 905 of the family's 1533-position model. The record is from RNAcentral.